UACGUAGGGACCAAGCGUUGUUCGGAUUUACUGGGCGUAAAGAGUGUGUAGGCGGUGUUCUAAGUUUGUCGUGAAAUCUCCCGGCUUAACUGGGAGGGUGCGGCGAAAACUGGAAUGCUAGAGGAUGGGAGAGGUAAGCGGAAUUCCUGGUGUAGCGGUGAAAUGCGUAGAUAUCAGGAGGAACACCUGUGGUGUAGACAGCUUACUGGACCAUUUCUGACGCUGAGACACGAAAGCGUGGGUAGCAAACAGG
This 253-nucleotide ribosomal RNA is filed under the name uncultured bacterium. Its description in RNAcentral is "partial 16S ribosomal RNA". It matches the Rfam family "Bacterial small subunit ribosomal RNA", at positions 524 to 776 of the family's 1533-position model. The record is from RNAcentral.